This 1511-nucleotide long non-coding RNA is filed under the name Calidris pugnax (ruff). Its description in RNAcentral is "lncRNA (ENSCPUG00000012225.1)". Lineage: Eukaryota; Metazoa; Chordata; Aves; Charadriiformes; Scolopacidae. The record is from RNAcentral.
CUCCCGGGCGGUCCUGCCGACCGGCCGCCGCGCCGGAUUCCCUCACGGCUUCUGGCAGCACCUCCCUCGCCUGCCUCCGCCCCCACCCCGGCCGCGUCCAGCGGCUGCCCCAGCUGCUGGGGACGGCCGCCGCGUCUCCUUCGUCCGGUGUCGAGCGGGCAGGGUGGUGGGUCGGCGGCGCCGGACGGGACGGGACGGGACGGGACGAGACGGGACGGGACGGACGGUCCCCCGGGGCCAGAAUGGUUGCCCGGGGAAAACAGCACUGCUAUGUUGGCAGAAUACAGGACGUUUUUGUGAGGUUUGGGAUUAUUCUAACAGUCCUUUUACUUCAUUUGUUCCUGGCCACAGCAAGCAAAGAUCAGGAGGAUUUCCUAGGACGCUAUAAAGCCAUCUUUAAGACUGCAUGUGAAGAUCCUUGGAUUAUGUCACCAAGAAUUUCUCUGCAUCCCUUGAAAGAAUUCAUUGUCUGUGUGCACCUCAAGCUAUAUUCCUCAAAUAGUCCCUGGACAGCGUAUGUAUACAGCCAGGAAACAUCUCACAGCAAUGUCUCUGCAAAUAAGUAUGAUCUUGGACUUAUAGGAGAUCACGGUAAAUUGAGGAUAUGGUUGUUUGGAAAACAAAUACAUACAACAGCAAGACUUCGUGACAACACUUGGAAUGACAUAUGUAUCCAGUGGAAAAGUGAAGAUGAAGAGAUGAAGGUAUUUAUAAAUAGAACAAAAAAAUUAAGCAAAAAAAUAACUGGGAAAGUUAAUCUCCCUGGAAAAGGACAGUUCUUACUUGGCUGUUCAAAGCUGCCAGGUACAGCUAUAUCACCUAACCUGGGUAUGACAGGGGAGCUCUACAUGUUCAGAAUGUGGGAUAAAGCAAAUAUAAAGCAAUCGGAGGACUGUGAAGAUAGUGGUGUUAUACGCUGGAGAAAGGAGGAUUGGGUCUAUAAUAAGACCAUAGAAGAGGAUAACUCUUUGCCAUGUGUUGAAACUACUGCAACGUUGCCUGGCAGAAAGCAGAUAACAGGUAAUGGAGUUCUGUAUGUUUUUUUCCCCAUUGUUCUUGUAUUUUGGAAAGUGCAUAAUGAAGAUUGCUGAUAGUGUUACUUUAUAAUUUAUGGAGAUAGUUAAGUAUAUGUAAGUAUUUGCAAAUUAAUUAUCCAUAUCAUCCUUGUGGCUUAUUAGCAUAUUUCAUGGUGCAAACAGCAUCAGUAAUUUUCCAGAGAAAAUGAAAAUAAGGUCACUGAGGUUACUCCAAUUCUCCUUUCAUUGCAGAAAUUAUAUUUACAUUUAUCCUUUGGAAAGAAGCUAUUACUAGUUUUCAUUAAGGCAAGCAAAAUAGUCUGAGCAAGGAAUCAUGUGAGUGAUUAGCAUUUCAGGAACUCCUUGUUUACCAUGUUUAACAAAAAAAAAUCUGGUUUUCCACAGAGACUUUUGGUAUCUCUGAAUAACUCUUCUACAAUAGUAGGAAAGGCCUUACAGUGUAAUUAGUGCAUUGUGAGUAACAAUCUAGGAUGA